RNAcentral lists this unclassified non-coding RNA (247 nucleotides) under Hevea brasiliensis (rubber tree). The record is from RNAcentral. Lineage: Eukaryota; Viridiplantae; Streptophyta; Magnoliopsida; Malpighiales; Euphorbiaceae.
AAAAAAAAAAAAAACCCAAAAAAAAAAAUCAAAGAGAGGCGAAGGGGGGGAAAGAAAUUUCCUUUUUCGCAGAAAUUUGAAUAUAUCCUUCACCCUCCCCGAUUUGAGUCGUAAUAAUGGAGGGGGUAGGGGCGAGACUUGGGCGGUCCUCCACUCGAUACGGACCGGCCACGGUGUUCAAUGGACCGGUGAGGAAGUGGAAGAAGAGAUGGGUCCACGUUUCCCCAUCUAACAACAACAACAACAA